Molecule: non-coding RNA, 858 nt
Organism: Pelobates cultripes (western spadefoot toad)
Lineage: Eukaryota; Metazoa; Chordata; Amphibia; Anura; Pelobatidae
Source: the annotation of a GenBank genome assembly
UUUUUUCUGUGUGAGGCUCUAAUUCUUCUUUCCCAUCCCCUGUCACUGAGUGCUUGGUUGGUAUUGCAUUAUGUGAUGGUGAAUGUUCUAGUGCCAAGACUAAAACGGAUUUAACACGUGAUGAGGAGCAGCUUGAUAAAUGGGACCUGUGAGCGAAGAGACCAGAGAUAAAGCACAAGGCAGUCAGGAGAGAGAUGCGGUGUGCUGAGACCUGGGAUGAGCACAGGGGCAAAUACAUCCAUCAGAACACAAAUAGAACGUUGGAUCGGGGAGAGAGGACAUCAGGAGUUCUAAGCAAAAGCCAAUUUUAAAACAAAGCACAACAUCUCCAUCAGUAGCUCAAAGUGCUGGGGAUGCUUGUAAGAGGAUCUGGAGAAGAUCACGUCUCUCUAUCACAGACUUGCUCACUUGAUUAUCAGCCAACAAGAUCUGCAAAGGAAAUAGAUGAAUUGGAGACUGAUAGACUCCUAUUUGCACAGUAAUCCCUGUGGACAUCAUCUGCUGUCGCCACCAAGUGAGUUGUGAAGGUGAUAGUGAAUGUGGAGUCACACGGGCUGACUGCAUCCUAUCUGAUAGUAGCAAAGAACCAUGCUCCCAGCCUAGACAGCUUGUAACUUGGAAGCUCUGCUAAGGGCGCUGGCCUCCCUCACUGCCUGUUGGGGGCGGCAUUUCAGAACCACGGUCCUGUGGACAGCGACUCUGGGCAGCAGCGCUCACUCCAGUCUACGAUCUCAAGUUCACCAGAGACCAACCUGACUGCUGCAGAAACGUCUGUAGUGAAGUACACCCCGGAGAGGGAGCUCACACGGUGGCAUGUAAAAAAAAGGGGUAAGCUAUGAUCAUGCAGCUCGAGACAAA